This 253-nucleotide ribosomal RNA is filed under the name uncultured bacterium. RNAcentral describes it as "partial 16S ribosomal RNA". It matches the Rfam family "Bacterial small subunit ribosomal RNA", at positions 524 to 776 of the family's 1533-position model. The record is from RNAcentral.
GACGGAGGGGGCUAGCGUUGUUCGGAUUUACUGGGCGUAAAGCGCACGUAGGCGGAUCGAUCAGUCAGGGGUGAAAUCCCAGAGCUCAACUCUGGAACUGCCUUUGAUACUGUCGAUCUGGAGUAUGGAAGAGGUGAGUGGAAUUCCGAGUGUAGAGGUGAAAUUCGUAGAUAUUCGGAGGAACACCAGUGGCGAAGGCGGCUCACUGGUCCAUUACUGACGCUGAGGUGCGAAAGCGUGGGGAGCAAACAGG